Molecule: ribosomal RNA, 117 nt
Organism: Gadus morhua (Atlantic cod)
Lineage: Eukaryota; Metazoa; Chordata; Actinopteri; Gadiformes; Gadidae
Source: Ensembl
ACGAAUGUUUAACCCCCUACAUACGCCCGAUCUCGUCUGAUCUCGGAAGCUAAGCAGGGUCGGGCCUGGUUAGUACCUGGAUGGGAGACCGCCUGGGAAUACCAGGCGCUGUAAGUG